Microcebus murinus (gray mouse lemur) is the source of this 2680-nucleotide non-coding RNA. Lineage: Eukaryota; Metazoa; Chordata; Mammalia; Primates; Cheirogaleidae. The record is from RefSeq and is a predicted model, not a curated record.
UCGGCCUCCCAGAGUGCUAGGAUUACAGGUGUGUGCCACCGCGCCCAGCCCAGGCCACUCUUAAGUCUUCUAGAAAGAGCCUCCAGAACUGUCCCCUAUUUCUGCCCUUGCCUCCCUUUAGUCUACUCUCCUCCUGGCAGUCAGAGGGAUCCAUUUAAAACCCAAGUCAGGGCACAUUCCUCACUGGCCCCAAACCCUCCAGCAGCUCCUGUUUUACUUGGAGUAAAAGCCACAGCCUUUACUUCAGCCCACACAGCUCUGCCCACCUGGUCCCACUAUUCCUUUUUUCCUCUGACUCAUCUGCCACCACUCUGCCCUUUGCUGCUGUGUUCCAGGCACCCAGGCCUCCCUGCUGGACCCUGAACUCCCCAGGCAAGUGCCAAACUCAGGGGCUUUCCACUCGCUGUUUCUCCUGCUGAGUGCACUCUUCCCCUGGGCAUCUCCAUGGCUCACCCUCCUACUUCAAGUCUUUAUUUAAAAGUCACAGUUGUAGUAAAGCCUCCCAGGUCACCCUAUCUAAAUCUUGCCCCUUUUCUACCACCCGACAUGUCACAUCCCCAUUUUCUAACACAUUAUGCAUUCUACUUGUUUACCUUAUUUGUUUCCUCAACUACAAUGGAGCCAGGAUUUUUGACUGUUUUGCUUGUUGCUAUGGUCCUAGUGUCUAGAACAGUGCUUGGCACACUGCAGACAUUCAAGAAGUAUUUGUUGAAUAAAUCUUCUCACUCUAAGUCUUGUGGCUUUUGCCCCCAAAUUCUAUCUUCAAGCUGCUGCUGCUCUAGCUCAGGCUCCACAACCUGCCUCCUGCCUCUGGCCAGGCCUCCUCCAAUCCACACAUCACUCUAGAGACAUGGCCCAAAAACCCAAGUCUGAGCACAAUCACGACUUUGCCCAUGAUGUAUAGGAAGAAAUGACUUAAUUCUACGGUCGUGUUUCUAAAGCCCAGCAAACCCUUCUGCUGUUGCAUAUAUUACAUAUCUGUCUAUCUCAGGAGAUUCCACGAGGGAAGGGCCAGUAUCUGACUCAUGUGUGUUCCCAGGGACCAGCACGGAGCUCUACUAGCAGACCUAGGUAAUUACUUCACUGGGUGAAUCACACACUCCCAAGUGUGUUUCCUCAUCUGUAAACGGGGGUGAUAAUUCCUGCUACGCAAAGGCCUCAAGAUGUGGCGAGGCUCCAACUCAAUUAUGCAGAAAAGUGUGCUCUGAAAAGGACAACACAAGCAUGAGGAGCGAUGAUGGUCCAAACACUGGGUGCUUCAUUUAAGGGACGUGGGUCUACGUCCUGGGCAUGCAUUUCUGCAGCCCCUGCGGCUGGCUGGAAACAGGCUGGGCCUCCUGCUCCCUACGGACACCUUUCUUGAGACUUCUCAGGCUAGAAGAGAACCUAACCUGGUAUGGCCUGCCACCUCAUGGCCACAGACAGAACUGCAACACCUACGCCUGGGCUGUGGCGCAAGGGUUGUGAUUCCCCUUUAGAGAUGAGAAAACUAAAGCUCUGCAGGGGCAAAGUGACUUGUUCAAAGCCACACUGUCAGCAGGCUAUGUAUGACAAGAGAGGCAGCUGCAUACCAACCGACUGGCUCUACUGCUUACUUACUAGCUGCUUCUCUCUAUUCUUGUUUCCUCACAGGUUUCUCGUGAAGAAAGCCUGGCAGGGGCAGGCAUGUCAGGAGUGCCCAGGCCUCAGGGUCCCAUCCAUGCUCACCUUGUGAGAAACACCAAGAAAACUAGUAUGGGCAGGACCAACACCACAUGUAUCCAUCCAGCCAUCUACCUACCCACCCGACAAACAGCCGUACUGCCUGCUGGGUGCCCUGGCCUGGGCUGGGACUGGACAAGGUCUGUAUCCAGGGAGUGACUGUUCAAGAAGCUAUCAAGGGCUCCUCACCUAUUUGCCUGACCAAGACUCCUGUGGCCAAGACUCCCUGGCUGACAUGUACAGAUGUCGUUAAAGAAGGAGGAAGGUUUUUCUAUGCUGUCCUGGGACUUCCCCAAAACAGAACACUGAAAGAGGAGCAUUUCUUCUUUUUCUAGAGUGGGUUUUUCCUUAGAUUUUUGUAUGCAAUGUGACUUGCCCUUUUUUUUGCAAUGGUUCCUAUGACACUUCUUUGUAUCUUGUUUUUGUUCAGUGUAGGCAAUUCUGUCCACAUUUCCCACUUACCCUGACACUAAUUAAAUGCAUUUUUUAAUCCUUUCCCAUUUCUGAGCUAUGGGUUUGAAAUUGUUGGUUGUGUUUGAUGUUCUGUAGCCUGUGAGCCUGGUAAGGUGGAUGGAGGACAGAGAGACCAAUGAACAGUCUUUAUUUUGGGGGCAAAAAUUAUACUCCCUUAUCAGAGGUUCUUUAAAGUGCCGUACCAAUGUUUAUUCUACCUAGUAAGGGCAUUCCAAUGUCCACGGAGGAAAUACACUCUGGAUUUGGAUCGUUCUCUUUCAACAUGGACUCCUGGGCCUAUCUUUCUAUCAAGGAGAAUGACACCCCCACAUACUCAGUCACCUAGCUGAAAUGGCAGCUCUUUCUACUACCUUACCAGUCAGAAAAAGAAAAGCAAAAUGUACUUCUUUAGUUAUCUUUUCUCCAAAUUUGGGGAGGUACUAAAGAAUUCUCAGAAUUUUGUCAUUGGAGUAGGGUUAGCAGGUAAACCAUACCAAAAUUUUUUGCUGCCAAUUUUUUGCUGAUU